UAUGUGAUCGUCUCUCGCAUAUCAAUAAGCGGAGGAAAAGAAACUAACAAGGAUUCCCCUAGUAACGGCGAGUGAAGCGGGAAGAGCUCAAAUUUGAAAUCUUAAAGGGUUUCCCUUUACGAAUUGUAGUUUAGAGAAGUGUUUUCUGUUGAGGUUUUGGUAAAAGUUCUUUGGAAUAGGACAUCAUAGAGGGUGAGAAUCCCGUAUUUGACCUUUACUUUCAUUUCACUUUGUGAUACACUUUCAAAGAGUCGGAUUGUUUGGGAAUGCAGUCCAAAAUGGGUGGUAAAUUUCAUCUAAAGCUAAAUAUUGGCGAGAGACCGAUAGCGAACAAGUACCGUGAGGGAAAGAUGAAAAGAACUUUGAAAAGAGAGUUAAACAGUACGUGAAAUUGUCAAAAGGGAAGCGUUUGACACCAGUGUUGUUUUUCUGAAAAUCAAUUAAAGAACUGUUUAUGCUAAGUUGUUUAGACUUUAUCAGCUAUCUGCUUAGUUUUGAGCUUUUCUUUAAUGCACUUUUCAGUUAACAAGUCAACAUCAAUUUCUUUGCUGUAAAAAAGCUUGAGGAAGGUGGCUUGAGAUUCGUCUUAAGUGUUUAUAGCCUCUUGCCUAUGCAGUCGGAGAGAUUGAGGUCUGCAGCGUAGAUCCUUCGGGGCUAAAUGCAUUUGUGCUAAGUUAUAGCAUUUUAUAGACAACUUGUUGACUAUGAUUUGUCUUGUAGCUUACUCGCUUAUGUUAUUUUACCUACGCUUAGGAUGUUGAACGCGCACAGAGUCUC
RNAcentral lists this ribosomal RNA (777 nucleotides) under uncultured Neocallimastigales. Its description in RNAcentral is "partial large subunit ribosomal RNA". It matches the Rfam family "Eukaryotic large subunit ribosomal RNA", at positions 24 to 635 of the family's 3401-position model. Lineage: Eukaryota; Fungi; Neocallimastigomycota; Neocallimastigomycetes; Neocallimastigales. The record is from RNAcentral.